This 84-nucleotide small RNA is filed under the name Flavobacterium caeni. Its description in RNAcentral is "Flavo-1 RNA". It matches the Rfam family "Flavo-1 RNA". The record is from Rfam by way of RNAcentral. Lineage: Bacteria; Pseudomonadati; Bacteroidota; Flavobacteriia; Flavobacteriales; Flavobacteriaceae.
CCCUAGCCCGGAUUGAAAUGGAAAUCCUUUUUGAACGCUUUGCAAAAGCGUUCAAAAAGAUUGGAAUGAAAAGCCGGAAACAGC